AGUGAACGCUGGCGGUGGGCCUAACACAUGCAAGUCGAACGGCAGCACAGUAAGAGCUUGCUCUUACGGGUGGCGAGUGGCGGACGGGUGAGGAAUACAUCGGAAUCUACUUUUUCGUGGGGGAUAACGUAGGGAAACUUACGCUAAUACCGCAUACGACCUACGGGUGAAAGCAGGGGAUCUUCGGACCUUGCGCGAGUGAAUGAGCCGAUGUCGGAUUAGCUAGUUGGCGGGGUAAAGGCCCACCCAGGCGACGAUCCGUAGCUGGUCUGAGAGGAUGGUCAGCCACACUGGAACUGAGACACGGUCCAGACUCCUACGGGAGGCAGCAGUGGGGAAUAUUGGACAAUGGGCGCAAGCCUGAUCCAGCCGUACCGCGUGGGUGAAGAAGGCCUUCGGGUUGUAAAGCCCUUUUGUUGGGAAAGAAAAGCAGCAGGUUAAUACCCCGCUGUUCUGACGGUACCCAAUGAAUAAGCACCGGCUAACUUCGUG
This 492-nucleotide ribosomal RNA is filed under the name uncultured bacterium. RNAcentral describes it as "partial 16S ribosomal RNA". It matches the Rfam family "Bacterial small subunit ribosomal RNA", at positions 29 to 507 of the family's 1533-position model. The record is from RNAcentral.